UUUGUUUAUACUUAGUGCAGCAAUAUUGGUUUGUCUAUUGGGAUCUCAUUUUUAAUUUGUGAAAAGUCACGAAGAUGGUUCUUGUUGUAAAUCUGGAAGGAAAAGUUGGAUGGGUGGAGAGGGAUGACAAUAUGUGGUGGGUUGAGCACAAAAUAUUGGUUCAGAAUUGAAAGGAAAGGAAACAUGAAGGCAUAUAAAGAUAGAGAAUGCCAUAUAUGAUCAAGUGCACAUCUUGGUGCUUCUGAUCUUGUUACGGUGUAAAAGAGCAUGGGAAAUUAUGAUUUGACAUUUUCAAAUUUUUGGUGUAAAAUUGACAUGAAGCAAAAUCUGUUGGGAUUGGGAAGAAUCCUCUCAAGGGAAUGAAAGAUCUGUAGCUUGACAGAAAUCUAAAGACAAAAAGAAGAAGGGCCAUUGAUCAGGUAUAUUUUGUCUAGUGAUUUCUAUACUACACAAAACAGGUUUGGGGACACCCACUAAUUUUUUUUAAGAUUUUUUUUUUUUUACUGAAUGUCCUUGUAUCGCUGGGAGGUAAAACUCAAAUUGUCCCUGUUUGUUGUUCUUAGAUUUGCUUUUGUGCCUAUAUGAAUGUAUAUACUUUAUGAAACCAUCUUUAAUUUUGGAUAAAUUAAUUGGCUACUACUGCAGUAUACAUUGUUUUCCAAGGAAGUUAUGAUAUUUGAUCAUUUGCAUAAUAGGUGUCAUUCUCAUAGCAUGUGACCUUCGUGUCACUUGAAUCAAAUAGAUGAUAUCAAGAAUUAGACUCUUGCUUGCACUUGGAUAUUGAUACUUUCAGUUUAUUCCUUACUCUAUUUGCCAACAAUCUGCAGAUCUCUACUUAAUGACUUACAAUGCAUGCUUCCUUUUCACCUUCUCACUCUGUUCUUACACAAAUAUUCAGUAAUACGGCUACUUCAUAAUUUUCAGAUUUCUUGUAUUUCUUAAUGUCCGUCCCCAAUUUUGUGUGUCAUGCUUAUGGAACUUUUACUUGUAACUUCUUUUUUUCAUUUUUUUCCCCUGAAAUUUUGCUGCCCUCUCUAAA
Long non-coding RNA from Rosa rugosa (rugosa rose), 1039 nucleotides. RefSeq lists it as uncharacterized. Lineage: Eukaryota; Viridiplantae; Streptophyta; Magnoliopsida; Rosales; Rosaceae. The transcript has 4 exons. The record is from RefSeq and is a predicted model, not a curated record.